UACGGAGGGGGCUAGCGUUGUUCGGAAUUACUGGGCGUAAAGCGCACGUAGGCGGCUUGAAAAGUUGGGGGUGAAAGCCCGGAGCUCAACUCCGGAAUUGCCUUCAAAACUCUUAAGCUAGAGUUCGGAAGAGGAGAGUGGAAUUCCCAGUGUAGAGGUGAAAUUCGUAGAUAUUGGGAAGAACACCAGUGGCGAAGGCGGCUCUCUGGUCCGAUACUGACGCUGAGGUGCGAAAGCGUGGGGAGCAAACAGGAUUAGAAACCCCUGUAGU
RNAcentral lists this ribosomal RNA (271 nucleotides) under uncultured bacterium. RNAcentral describes it as "partial 16S ribosomal RNA". It matches the Rfam family "Bacterial small subunit ribosomal RNA", at positions 524 to 794 of the family's 1533-position model. The record is from RNAcentral.